CUUCGCAUUGCAGCAGACCUGGGGGAGCUCUUGGGCACUCUAAUGCCAAGAAUAUGUGUUAUUUCAUAUUCUGUUAUUUACUUUGAGUUUAAGGUGGUGAGAGGAAGUUCCCAGAAAACAGCUGUAAGCGUUCUCACAGCAAGCAAGUCUUUUCAGUGCUUGAACAUCUCUCAUUAAAGGAGUAAAAAAAAUCCCUCUAUCUGCUUUUUGUAGUUCAGUCGUUUACCACAUAUCUAGACAGAAGCCUUUAAAAAAAAAUCCAAAUGUUAGAGCGUACAAGAAAUAAUUCCUGUGUCAUUUUAUCUGUCUAAUUGGGCCUAAAAAUAGCCUGUGGGAAGGAGGACCAGAAGCCUUGAGUGUCUGAGGCAAUUUGCAUCAAUUAUUUCCCAAUGUACCAGUCACAAGUGAAAGCCCUUGCCUGAGUGCCUCCAUUAGCCAGGUGUCAGAGCUCUCUCUGUUUUCAUUUCAGGCUUUUUGCUGGGAACAGGGUGUGUGCGGGCUGAAAAGCACUGAGGAGGAACUGAGGCCAUACCUGAUCCUGGGGGGUGCCCAGAGCAGCUCUGCAAGCAAGGUUAGCGCCUUUGCUCCUCUGUCAUCACCAGUCCCUGAGAGCAAUCACCACCCACCAGCAGUUCCUCAAGAUAAGACCGAGCCAGCUGGGAGAAGAAAUCCUUUGAUAUUUCCCUGCCUCGCUGAAGACAAUCUCAUUAAGCUCCUGCAGAGGUACUGGGAGAAAAGGAACUGAUUCUGAGUAUACUUCCAAAAGACACUGAAGAAGCAGCAGGAAAAUUCUGGUUUGCACUGAGGGAGUUGUGGCAGACAGCACAGCUUGCAUGGAUGUCUCAGCAACCAGUCUGCAAGCUCCAGCAGGACCCAAGGUCUGUAUACACUUGGGCAUCCCAAAAAAUGUGCUGUAAUGUUUGAGACCUAAGGGACUCAGCAGUGUCGACUCUGAGAAUAGCAGUGAUUUUCAACAAUCUCUUCUUCUGUCUACACUUCCAAUGCUCAGUCUGUCUAAUUACUUCUGGGUUCUUG
RNAcentral lists this long non-coding RNA (1035 nucleotides) under Numida meleagris (helmeted guineafowl). Its description in RNAcentral is "lncRNA (ENSNMEG00000004592.1)". The record is from RNAcentral. Lineage: Eukaryota; Metazoa; Chordata; Aves; Galliformes; Numididae.